RNA transcript from Dama dama (fallow deer), 6768 nucleotides. It is a transcript of the gene named potassium calcium-activated channel subfamily N member 4, with no coding region annotated. Lineage: Eukaryota; Metazoa; Chordata; Mammalia; Artiodactyla; Cervidae. The transcript is spliced from 11 exons. The record is from RefSeq and is a predicted model, not a curated record.
ACCACCUCCCAGAGGGCACAGACUCUGCUGUACCUCAAAGCACAAGCCCAGAGCGAGGGAGCAGAGCAGGCCAGGGACCUCAAGCCACUGUGGCUGCCCUUUGCGUGCUGCGAGGUGGGGGACCCUGGGCAGGAAGCUGGCUGGGCCCCAAGACCCCGGGAGCCAUGGGCGGGGAGCUGGUGCCGGGCCUGGGGGCCCUGCGGCGGCGAAAGCGCCUGCUGGAGCAGGAGAAGAGUCUGGCCGGCUGGACCCUGGCACUGGCAGGAACUGGCAUUGGACUCAUGGUCCUGCACGCGGAGAUGCUGUGGUUCGGGGGGUGCCCGUGGGCGCUCUAUCUGUUCCUGGUUAAAUGCAUGAUCAGCAUUUCCACGUUCCUGCUCCUGUCCCUUAUCGUGGCCUUUCACGCCAAAGAGGUCCAGCUGUUCAUGACGGACAACGGGCUCCGGGACUGGCGCGUGGCGCUGACCGGGCGGCAGGUGGCGCAGAUCGUGCUGGAGCUGGUGGUGUGCGGGUUGCACCCGCCGCCGGUGCCGGGCCCGCCGUGCGUGCUGAGCUCCGGGUUCCUGAAGACGGCGGCCACGCAGUCCUGGCCCAGCUUCCUGGACCAGGGGGAGGCGCUGCUGUCGCUGGCCAUGCUGCUGCGCCUGUACCUCGUGCCCCGCGCCCUGCUCCUGCGCAGCGGCGUCCUGCUCAACGCCUCCUACCGCAGCAUCGGCGCGCUCAACCAGGUCCGCUUCCGCCACUGGUUCGUGGCCAAGCUGUACAUGAACACGCACCCCGGCCGCCUGCUGCUCUGCCUCACGCUUGGCCUCUGGCUCACCACCGCCUGGGUGCUGUCGGUAGCCGAGAGGCAGGCUGUUAAUGCCACCGGGCACCUUUCGGACACACUGUGGCUGAUCCCCAUCACAUUCCUGACCAUUGGUUAUGGCGAUGUGGUGCCAGGUACCAUGUGGGGCAAGAUUGUCUGCCUCUGCACUGGUGUCAUGGGGGUCUGCUGCACAGCCCUGCUGGUGGCCGUGGUGGCCCGGAAACUGGAGUUUAAUAAGGCGGAAAAGCACGUGCACAACUUCAUGAUGGAUAUUCAGUAUGCCAAAGAGAUGAGGGAGUCGGCUGCCCGGGUGCUGCAGGAGUCCUGGCUAUUGUACAAACAUGCGCGCAGGAAGGAGUCUGGAGCUGCCCGCAAGCACCAGCGCAGGCUGCUGGCUGCCAUCAACAGGUUCCGCCAGGUGCGUCUGAAACACAGAAAGCUCCGGGAGCAAGUGAACUCUAUGGUGGACAUCUCCAAGAUGCACAUGAUCCUGUGUGACCUGCAGCUCCGUCUGAGCAGCUCCCACCAGGCCCUGGAGAAGCAGAUUGACGCGCUAGCAGGGAGGCUGGACACCCUGACCGAGCUGCUCAGCGCUGCCCUGGGGCCGCGGCAGCUUCCAGAACCAAGCCAGGAGGCCACGUAGCUGGACCCAUCCGGGAAGAACCAGGCUACCCUUCCCCAGGAUUGAGGUCAAGGACAUUCUCUCUGCUACUCCUGACCCAGCCGCACAUAUAAAGCCCCCCACCCCCCAAGUGUGAGGACUGCUGGGGGCCCCACCUUGGAUGGAGGAUGCUGAUGGAUGCUGGAGGGGAUGCUGGAUUAAGGAGGGAGGCCGUGGCCCACCCCCCACCAAGGCCCCAAAUGGGAAAACGGUCACCCCUGCCGCACAUACUCGACAAAAACAUCCUCACUCUGCUGCUGUAGAUGGCCAACAGCUUUCAGUUGGACGUGGAGGCGGAUUCUUUACCAUCUGAGCCACCGAGGAAGCCCGCCUGAACCAGCUUCUGCAACUAUAAAAGAGGCCUCCGAGAAGUAUCCUCCCAGCCCACCAGAACCCAGGUGACACCUCAUCCAUCAGGACAGUAACGGGAACCCCAAACCAUCCCCUCUACUCAUUUCUCCUAUCUGCUAGGACUUGGCCAGGAAAUGGGAAGGGGGCUGGGCUUAUGGAGGUCCUCCUGUAUGCCCGGCUCUGCGCUCCUGCGUUGUAAGUCACCACCACCUCUGCCCGCCCCACCCCCCUCCACUGUGCAAAUACAGAGACUGAAGUUUCGAGAGGAGGAAGGCCUCAAGGGUCUGGCUUCACACCCAGCGCAUCCUGAGACCGAGCCCUCCCUCUCAGCCUGGCUUGAGGUGAGUCAGAGACAGAACAGCCUUGGACCCUGAACCUGGGUCUUACUUCCCACAGCCGCUGUAUUCCACUUUGAGAGGCUGAUUCAUCCCCGCUUCCCUUGACUUGUGGGGAAGCCCGGGCUGCGAGUCAUCCUUCUCUGCUGAGCUAUCUUUGGAUUUCCCUGCAAGCCCGCAGCCAGCCCCACCCCUCAGCCCCCAGAGCUAAACUCGGGGCUGCACCACCCACUGCCCCUUCCUCUGGACACCAGCCCACCUGAGGGGCAGAGGAAACAGGAACACUUCCAACACCCUCCCCUGCAGUAAGCUCUCUUCAGUGCUGCCAGAUCCCCUACUGGGACCAUCCUUUCCUAGUUCUACUUGACUUCACUGGGGAAACUCCUUCCACCUCCUUUAGGCCCCAGCUUAAAUGUCGCCUCCUCCAGGAAGCCCUCUCUGAAGCUCCCACAGCCCCCCUGUGAACCUGUCUCUAUCACAGUAAUAUUUAUCGUGCAAAGUCCCACAUUAAGUCCUUCAUAUAAAUGAUCUCACAAAAUCUCUACAGAGGGAAGCAAGGUGGUAUUACUGGUCCCAUUAUACAGAUGAGGAAUCCGAGGCAUAGGGAUUACGAACCCUGCCCGAACCCGCAGCAAGGAGAUGGCGAAGCUGGGAUUUGACCCAGAUGGCCUGGUUCUGAAGGCCCAGCACUUAGCCAGUCGGCUCAUUCAUUUAGGGAUCAUUAUACCCUACUUUCAUUUUUGCUGUCUAUAUUGUGUCUUCAAUGUCGAGGGCCUGCAUAUGCUAGUCCUCAGUGAGUUAUCUCUGAGCGAACACACUGACUGCCCGGGUGGCCGGAAGCGCCGCGCCUUCUACCACUUGUUUCUCCCGGGACAAGGUAGGAACUGGUGAGAAGGGGCUUUUUGCCUAAGGCACUAAGAGCAUGGGAGAACACUGCUGUUCUGAAUUCUCGGAUCUCCCUCCGCCACCCUGCCACCACUAACUGUGGGGCACGGGUCCCGAUGCCCCCCCUUUCUAGCAGUCUUUGCUCACCCCCUCAAACCAUCACCACUUCCUCAACGCCCUGCACCGGGGUGGGGGCUGCAGGCAUGAGUCAGAGGGCUCUGCUCCCCAGGGACUUGACUCCACGGUGAUUUUGGCAACUUCCCCCUCCUACUUCAGUUUUCCCUCCACGCCUGGAAGAGGACAGGGUGGGGGAAAGUGGGUCCAGAAAGGGCUGGGGGAUUACUGGGGUUCGAGAGCCAGUCAGGGGUUGGGACCACCACCCAAGACACGACUAGGCCCUUCCCUUGUUCAAAACCCUGCCAUGGUUACCACCUGUAUUUCUGUCAAAGUGCAGCUCCUAGGCCUAGCCCUGCAGCAUGUGGGAUCCUAGUCCCCCCACCAGGGAUGGAACCCAUGCUCCCAGCAAUGGAAGCACAGAUUCUCAACCACUGGACCCCCAGGGAAGUCCCCAUUCAUUUUUUCUUUCAUUGAGAUUUAUUUUACAUAAAUGACAGAAAGUUUAAAUGCAGCCUCAAUAGAUUUUUUUACAAAUGCAUUCACCCAAGCAAAUACCACUCAGCUCAAGCUUGAAGUUUCCAUGACCCUAAAAACUCUCUCUCCCUUCCUAUCUUGAUUUUCUUUUGCCCAGAUGUGAACUUUGAAAAGAAACCUGGAACUCUGAUGUGUACCUGCUUCCAGGUAUCAGCCAGGGGUGCGUCCUUUUUCCCUACAGAAUGGUGUUAAUACACCCACAGGCCUCACCUGGGGGGCUCUUCAGGCUGUGGCCCCAUCCCUCCUCCAGCCUCCCUAUCCCCUCCCUGUCACAGAAGAUAAUGAUUCUGCACCCAAUUCCAGUGUUGUGGUUUGGGUACCCCCCCCCCUGCCCCCCACCAAGCAAUUCUCAAGACAGCACAAUUCAACUCAGUCCUGACACUGUCUACCCGGAACCAGCAUCAGAUUCCACAGGUUAAGAGUUGGGUCCUACAAGACUGCCCCCCACCCCUACCCCUUCAGAUGCCAAUUUCAAGUCCAGAUUGUCACCUAUGUGUCUGACCAACUGGUUACAGAUCCAACAGCCCCUUCCUUGGGUUCAAAGAGUGACUCACAGAACUCAGAGACACAUUUUAUUUACUAGAUUAUAGGUUUAUUAUAAAAAGAUGUAAUUGGGGAACAGCCAGAUGGAAGAGAGGCACAGGGCAAGGGAUGGGGAAGGGGCAGGGAGUUUCCAUGCCCUCUCUGGACCCCGCUCUCCCCAAAUCUCCAAGUGUUCACCAACCUGGAAGCUCUCCAAGCCCUGUCCUUUGGGGGUUAUUACGGAGGCUUCAUUACAUAGCCACGACUGAUUAAAUCAUUGGACUUUGGUGACUAAUCCAACUCUAACCCCUCUCCCCUUCCUGUAGAUCUGGAAGUUCUAAACCUCUAAUUACCCCAUUGGGGUCCCUGGCACUCAGCCCCUAUCCUUACCGUGGUGCUUUCCAAAGCCACCUCAUUACAAAAGACACCCUUAUUACUCUCCUCACUGGAAGGUCCAAAGGUUUUAGGAGCUCUGUGCCAGACUCCAGGAUAAAGACCAAAUCCAUAUUUAUUAUAAACCCAGUAUCACAGCUGCUCCAGCCACAGGGCUCCCCUUCCUUCCCAAGGAUUGUCGAAACUGGUCAUCUCUCCUGGACUCUCCUGUCCCCUUUUCCCCAUCCACGUAGAACAAAUAUCACCAGUAUUUUUCCAGUUCUUUAUGAGGGCCCAUGAAGGAAGCCAUAUCAUCUACAUCAAUGCCAGACUGCAGACUAAAGACUUGUUUAUAGCUUUUCUGCUGUGUGAGACAGCUGCUAACAUGUAAAAACCAGGAGAGUGUUUUUACAACUUGGAAGCAAUGUCUUUUCUUUCUUCUACCAGAAUGAACUGGCCCUUCUUCAAGUCCAGCCAAGGGUGUACCCUGGCUGCACCCUUUCUCACUUCCUCAAGGACCAGAGUCCUAAGUUUCUUCCCUCAUCCAUUUUCCCUACUAUUGAAAUAGAAGGGAAGGGGCAGGGAGCAACCUUUAAAAGAAUGACACUGCCAUAGGACAUGACAAACUAGAACCAACCAGAUCCAAGAUGGCUGAAGAUUUGACUUCCAGUAGACUGGAGUCUCAUUAUGCGCUCAUUGUAAUUAAUACAUUAGCUAAAUGACACACCCACCAGCUUCAUGACAGUUUCAGGGCCAAUGAUAAAAGGUCGAAAAGUGGGCUGUGGUGCAAUUCCUGGCAAUCCCUGCUCCUUCCUAGAAAUAGUUGGACUAAUCCUCCCACUCACUUAGCCUACGAAAUUACCCAGUCCAUAAAAAACUCACAACCCCAAAUUUCCAGGGCCUGUUGCCUUCUGAGACGACCCGCAGUCUGUCUGUGGGGUGUGUUUCUCUCUAGAUAAAUCCAUUUCAUACCUGACACUUUGUCUCUCACUGAAUUCUUCCUGCAGGAGGACAUCAAGAACCUGAGCUUCACUAAGUGCUGAGGCCAGGUGUGUGAUCUCAAUUAAAAGACCGUGCAUUCGAGUUCCAGUCUGGGUUUGGCCAGGUGUGAGUCCUGGCCCGUGGGUUCAAGUUCCAAUUUGAGUGGCAUGGUUUCACUGCCCCUCCCAGCAGCACACAAACAUGCUGUCUUUCCGCCCAUCUUAAAACCGGCCCCCCAGAACUUUAAGCACUUUACAUCCUCCACUAUCCUUAAAGCCCACCAUGUAUUCACCACACUGCAAAACAACUGGAAUUCAACUUGAGUCUAUUUUCUAUAUUGUAAAACAACUUGUAGGUAGAAAUCCUUUCAAAGUUCUAGUUCUUACAGAACAAGCUCCUGAUACAUUCAACAGCAGGGAAAACUCUCACAGACCAAAGAGCUAAAGAAGGCAGGCAACACAGAAGACCAGCUGUCAGAUUUCUAUCAAGUUUCAUUUCUGUCAAGUUCAAGAGCAGCCACAACUCAUCUGUAAUGACUGGAAUCAGAUCAGAGGCUGUUUCUGGAGUGGGGGAGCUGACAGGAAAACAGUCCAAUAGAAAUCUCUGGGGUUUCAGAAAUGUUCUCUAUCUUGACCUGGUUAGUGGUUACAUGGGCAUACAUAUAUUUGUAAAAAUCCACUGACCCUUUUCUGCACUUGGCCACAUUUAAGUUACACUGAGACAAUAUCAACUUUUUCUUAUAGAUUCUCUAUUACAGUAUUGAGAAGUUUCCACAACAGAGACUAAGACAGAAGGGAAGGGAACAGGACCUAAGCUUUGAAAGAAUGACGCAGAUCUUGAUGAUACGACUGAACUAGGCCCACCAGGUCCAAGAUGACAGAAGAUACAACUUCCCUAGGCUCUAAGCCUCAUUAUACACUCAUUGUAAUAUACCAGCAUAUACUAAGUGAUACACCACACCUGCCAUGACAGUUCUGAAGCUGACCAUAGAAGGCCAAAAAGUGGGUGGUGGCCCAAUUCCUGGAAAUUCUCGCUGCUACCCCAAAAUAGUUGGAAUAAUACUCCCAGUUGUUAGCUUAUGAAACUAUCCAGCCCAUAAAAACUAACCACCCCCACAACCACUGGCCACUCUUGCUUUCUGAGAUGGUCGCCUUUCUGCCUACCGAAUGUGUCUCCCUCUAAAUAAACUUACUUUCACUUUA